This 253-nucleotide ribosomal RNA is filed under the name uncultured bacterium. Its description in RNAcentral is "partial 16S ribosomal RNA". It matches the Rfam family "Bacterial small subunit ribosomal RNA", at positions 524 to 776 of the family's 1533-position model. The record is from RNAcentral.
GACGGAGGGGGCUAGCGUUGUUCGGAAUUACUGGGCGUAAAGGGCGCGUAGGCGGCCAAGUGUGUCAGGGGUGAAAUCCCAGGGCUUAACCCUGGAACUGCUUCUGAAACUGCUUGGCUAGAGUGAGUGAGAGGCGGACGGAAUUCCGAGUGUAGCAGUGAAAUGCGUAGAUAUUCGGAGGAACAUCGGUGGCGAAGGCGGUUCGCUGGUGCUCAACUGACGCUGAGGCGCGAAAGCUAGGGGAGCAAACAGG